AUUGAACGCUGGCGGCAUGCUUUACACAUGCAAGUCGAACGGCAGCGCGGGCUUCGGCCUGGCGGCGAGUGGCGAACGGGUGAGUAAUACAUCGGAACGUGCCCAGUAGUGGGGGAUAGCUCGGCGAAAGCCGGAUUAAUACCGCAUACGACCUGAGGGUGAAAGCGGGGGAUCUUCGGACCUCGCGCUAUUGGAGCGGCCGAUGGCAGAUUAGCUAGUUGGUGGGGUAAAGGCCUACCAAGGCGACGAUCUGUAGCUGGUCUGAGAGGACGACCAGCCACACUGGAACUGAGACACGGCCCAGACUCCUACGGGAGGCAGCAGUGGGGAAUUUUGGACAAUGGGCGAAAGCCUGAUCCAGCAAUGCCGCGUGUGUGAUGAAGGCCUUCGGGUUGUAAAGCACUUUUGGCGGGAACGAAAAGGACUGUGCCAAUACCACGGUUCGAUGACGGUACCCGCAGAAUAAGCACCGGCUAACUACGU
RNAcentral lists this ribosomal RNA (483 nucleotides) under uncultured bacterium. RNAcentral describes it as "partial 16S ribosomal RNA". It matches the Rfam family "Bacterial small subunit ribosomal RNA", at positions 29 to 506 of the family's 1533-position model. The record is from RNAcentral.